RNA transcript from Pectinophora gossypiella (pink bollworm), 6859 nucleotides. It is a transcript of the gene named protein held out wings, with no coding region annotated. The record is from RefSeq and is a predicted model, not a curated record. The transcript has 8 exons. NCBI's taxonomy places the organism in Eukaryota, Metazoa, Arthropoda, Insecta, Lepidoptera, Gelechiidae.
ACAAGAGCGCAGGCGCAGCGCUAUAUUCGCCCCGCACAACUUCACUUCGGUCAACUUCGUCAUUUAGUGGUGGUCGAAACUUCGAUGUGUGUGGUAGUGAAGUUUAACUUUUCUAACAAAUCUCACAAAAUAUAACAAUAACUAGCAACUAAAGUACAAUUUCAUAUUUGAACGUGUUGAUAGAAACAUUUAACGUGUCUGUAGUUCUAUAAAUAGUAUUCAAAAUGUGUGAUAAUACCAAUCCUUCGACGCAAAGUAUAGCGGACUACUUAGCUCAGUUGCUCAAAGACAGGAAGCAACUGGCUGCGUUCCCGAAUAUUUUCAUGCACAUGGAGAGACUUCUGGAUGAAGAAAUUGCAAAAGUGCGAGCCAGUUUAUUCCAAAUCAAUGGCGUCAAAAAGGAACCACUUAUUCUACCAGAGCCCGAAGGGAUGGUCACCACACUCACAGAAAAAGUAUACGUGCCAGUCAAAGAACAUCCAGACUUCAACUUCGUGGGAAGGAUUCUCGGCCCCAGAGGUAUGACGGCAAAACAGUUAGAACAGGAAACAGGAUGCAAAAUCAUGGUCAGAGGCAAAGGAUCCAUGAGAGACAAGAAAAAGGAGGACGCAAACAGGGGCAAGCCGAACUGGGAGCACCUGGCUGAUGACUUGCACGUGCUUCUGACGGUCGAGGAUACGGAGAACCGCGCUAAGAUCAAGCUAGCGCGCGCCGUCGAGGAGGUCAGGCGCCUGCUUGUGCCUCAAGCGGAUGGUGAGGAUGAGCUGAAGAAACGCCAGCUAAUGGAGUUGGCCAUUAUAAACGGCACAUAUCGCGACUCCAGCGCCAAGGCGGUCGUGCCCGUCAACGGUCAGUGCCUAAUAACUGACGAGGAAUGGCGGCGCGUGGCAGCGGCCGCGGCCGAGACGCAGCGGCUGCUGGCGCCGGGCGGCGGCGUGGCGGGCGUGGGCGGCGUGGCGCUGCGCACGCAGGCGCCGCUGGGCGCGCCGCUCAUCUUGUCGCCGCGCAUGUCGGCGGCGCAGGGCGCGCAGGCGGGGCUGCUCAACGGCACGGGCGCAGGCGCGGCCGCCGGCUUGUUGUCGCCCGGCGAGCCCGCGCACCAGCUCAUCUACGCGUCCCCCUACGCCGACUACGCCAACUAUGCGGCGCUCACCGCCGCCGCCAACCCCCUCCUCACGGCCGAGUACGCCGCCGCCGACCAUACGGCGUCGAGAUACCUACUUGCUGGCUUUUGACAUUGGCCGCAAUCGCCUCAGCCCACAUUAAGAUACGACCGGCUGCAACACGCGCCGUAUCGCCCGGCGCAACACUAUUACCGUCCUUGAUAUUCUCGAACAUGCUUCCGAUCAGGACGCCCCCACACAGUCAUAAUAAAGCCAUGAUCAAUAAUCGUAGAAUAAGAUAUUGUUAUAAGUACGGUUAGCCUAGCGACUCAAUCGUUUUGUACCUACGAUGUUAUUAUCUUAAUUUUUAUGAGCAUUGUUUUCUUCUACGACUGUUUGUACAGUUACACACAAAGUAUAAUUUUUGUUUUCAAACGAUAUAUUAUUAUUUAUUUUAUACAGCAGAUUAUUUUAAUAUUUAUACAAAGUAAUAUAAAUGUGGAACAUAUUUAUUGCAAAUUAUAUUUGAACGUUGCCUCGUAUUAGGGUUGAUGGCAGUUGAUGACGUAAUCGUUUUAAAGUAGAAAAUAUUUUUAGUUUAAUAUAUUAAUUAAAACUGCCAAUAGAACUCUGUUUAAGUUACCGACGUUUCGUAUACAAAGACAUAGAUUUUUAUAUAUUUAUUUAUUGAUUUACAUCUCGUCACUGACGUUCUUCGUGUUAGAGACAUAUAGAGCCCAUUCAUUAGAGUUCUUUGAUAACCCUUGCUUGUAACCCAACUAAUCUAAUAACAUUUUGUUAAUGUAGAUCCGACACUCAUUGAGUUUCUAAUAAGACCUUUCUUUCGAUGGCAGCAUUUUAAUAAACUCUCAAAUCCACCGUUAUUGCAUGUGGUAUUCGUCCUUUUUUAGAUUUUCAGUCGAAUACAUCUUUUGUGUUAAUAACAGUAAACAUAUUAACAACAGUAUCACUGAAUGAAAUAAUGAAUUUACUACUAUUCAGCGAUUACAAGCAAAAGGGACCAAAUACGAAUUGAAUUAUACAAGAAGAACACUUACUUUUAACUUUUUAACAACACUGACAAAUUAAUGAUGCAUACACUUUACACGUUGCGAUCAAACUAUGGAACAUUCUAGAUAGGCGGUUUUACAUGUUUGUCGGUCGUGACAAUAACAUUUUACUGUACACACCGUGCGAGCUGUUAUUGUUACGAAGACGUCGUAAUUUAUUAAUUUAUUAGCCAUAUUAUUAUAUUUAUAAACAUACCAUAGGAUUAAGUAUUAUUAUUAUCUUUUAAAGAUUUCUAGUUAGGUUAGAAAAGAGUGAGCUUUAUGAAAAAUAUAUACAACCGUAUAUUGUAGAUUAUAUGCCGCAGUAACAACUGUCGAGUCAAUAUUACGAAUGAAAUUAUAAAGCCAGCCAUUACCUGUACCUUACCGGGAGUGCUUGCGCCCGAGAUAUGUUAUUUUGUUAUUAUUUCCAAAGCAAUAAAACGAUAGGUAAUAUCUGUAGGCCUAAGCAUAAUAAUAGGAGUUAGUGUUACUGCCAAAAAUAUCUUUGAUUUAAAAAUGUAUAAUAAGUAUUAUUGAAUUGACAAUGACGAGUAUUUGGCAGUGAUAGGUAACUACUUUCGAACGUUAGGUAGGUAUAGGGAAUUUUAAGAGCUAAUCUUUUCUUAUGAGAUUAAAUUUCUUUUCAGCAUUUAAAUGUAUUCGUCGAUCGCCUGAAGCUUUGUUUACCCAGUAAAAUUUGUAUUACAGAAAAUGUAUUAUUUACAGUAAAGAUUUCCAGUGAUUUUAUGGUUGUUUUUUAAACAAAGCGAAGGGUGGUUGAUCUUUUUGGAUGAAGGGUUGAAAAAAAUGGAGUUGUGACACAGAUGAUCAAUGUGCAUAUGCCGCUAGGUGUCGUGCGGAGGGCCGGACGCCUGGCUCAGGUGAGGGACCACCCUUACCAGCGCACGGCAUUACCGGCGCCUUAAAUCCCGCCAAAACGCUCUCACGCCGCCAUUUUGUUCACAAGGUGCGUGCUAACGGCGCGGAGGAACUAACCGGAGACGCGGCCGCCCGCCACCCGCCGGGCCGUGACGUCGCGUAACAUUCUCAUCGGAACAUCGACCACCAUGUAGCUAUAGCUGUUGGGCCUUUCACGUUAACAUAUACUAUGUAUUAUAAUAGUCUAACUAUUAACAUUUAUAUGCCUGUUAUGUUUAUAACAAGAUGAACUUUAUUAACAAUUUUAUAUUUUUGAAAGUGGCACACGCCAUCGACUAUAUUUACUAUUGUAACUUGUACUUCUGUUGUCGCUUGAACGUGUUGUUGUUAGCACGAGUGUUGGUAGGCUCCCGAACAAAGGCGACGCUCAAUGUGUGAUGCACGUGGUUCUUCUUUUAAAUUUUCUCAGUUUGUUCUUACUUUACCUUUGUAGUACGAAUUGUACCAAACUACCAGGCACCAUGUUCAGCGUCGUCAAAAGACUAUGGAAGAAAUUCCUAUAAAGUGUAUGUUGAUUCGGAAUGCAAAAGUCUAUUUAGCAGCUAUUGACAAGUUUACACAGACUGUUAUCGGUAGUCAGAUGUUUUCUCACAGCUGACCUAAAAAGACUUUUCCAUUGCGAAGUCUUCAUAAAAAGACAUCUAUCCAACUCAAGUUGGGUACAGAUGAUCAUGACACGCACAAUAGAGAACAUGAAUGGUUCUGUGAAAAGUACAAAACACGACGUAGAUGUUUGCUGCACUGUGUACGUAGAGGAACCCACCAGAGGUGUGCCGGCGGACGGCGAGGUCUGACAGACUGUGGUCUAAUGUAAGUAUAAUGCUGUCAAAAUUAUAAAAUUAUCGCUUUCAUAAAGUUAAUACAUUGGACUGAUAUUCGGAGUAGUCUAAUCUAAGGUCGCCGUCAUACAUUUAUUGACUUCACAUUUGUUUGGCAAUAAUAUAUAUUUUAUCCUUAACCAAAGACUAAUAUUAUUGUUUUUGAAAGCUAUUCAGAUCAAAUUAAAAUUACAUUCGUCUUCCUCGGUUUACUUCGUCUCGGUCAGUAAGUGUAUGACCUUAAUAAAUUAUUCUUUAAGAGAUAUAUUUAUAGCAUUGAUUUUUACAUUGUUUAGUGCUUUAUUAUUUAUAAAUAACAAAUUGAAUAUUUGUGCAUCCCAAGUGCCUUAAUUAAUGUACAAUAUUUUCAUCUGUGUGGUUCUACACAAUUUGUUAUUUGCUUAUUCGUAGUUAAGUUAGAAGAGAUUAAAUUAUUGUUAACUUUUCUAAAUGUUAAUCUUUAUACAUUAUUGUCGUCACUUUCUAAAUAUUAAUCAUGUGGGGAACUAUUUGUCCAAACUUUUUAUAUUAGUAUGUGUUAGACUUUCAGUAGAUUUGGAAAGCAUAUUAUUAAUGUAAGUGCCUUCGUUACAAUCUCCUUUGGGAAUCUCUAAAGAACAUCUAUCUCAUGGUGAAUUUCAGCAAAAAGCAAUAUGCAGUUAUUGCUUUCGAAUAUAUUAAGAUAUGAAAUUAUGUUUGGCGCUACAUCUCAAAAACUUGGUAAUCAAAAAUCUCAGUUUCUGCUGAUCAAAUUUUAGUAACUAGGCGAUCUACCUUAAUUCUGUAAGUGUUUGUAUAUAGCUUACAUAGAUUGUUUAAAAGCAAUAAUUUACAAUAACUACAGUAAUUUUAGUGCAAUAGCAAUGUUAUUUCUAAUUUAAUAUUUUAUUUUAUAAAUCUCAGGAUAUUAAUAUGUUGAGGAAAUAUUAUACAAGAUUUAAUAGAGAUCUGAUAUUGAGAUUAAAAUACGGUAGAUGAAAUAAUAUCGCGUUCGUUACAUGUGAGUGAAGAUAUAUUUUCUAUAAAUAAAAAUUAAAUCAUUUAAAUAUAUUAAGAAUUAGAUUUAAAAGAUAUGUUUAGAAAUAUUAUGAAGGACAAAAUUUUUUUUGGAAUCAAUUUUAUGCGGUGCUCUUGAUUCACUUUAUAAAUUUAAAAUAACUAUGUAUUUUUCUAGAGUCCCAAGUUAGCUUUUACAGUUGUGUUGUCUGUUUCACUUGGCGAUAUAUUAUAACGAUUAUAUUUAUAUUCUUUAAAUAAUUAAGUAUCAUCUAUAUACCUACGGCUAUCAUUGAAGUUGUUAACACUCCGUCCGUAAAUUACUUCAUAUUAUAAGUACUUAAUUGUUGGUCUCCCUCAUAGUUAAGAGUUUGCAAAUUCAAAUCUAGUUGCGACCCAAAACGUGUUAACACUAAACCCCAACAUUUUAUUAAGGAAUUCUACUCUUAAAUGUUUUAUCAUACGAUCUCUACUAAAACAAAUCUUAGCGAACUCUUCGCUAAGUGGACAAAUUAUGAUCAUAAAUGCUUAUUUAAAACCAUUUCACACUUUCGUAUUUGCACAAAUCUUUAUGCUUGUAAACAAUUUCGUUAAUAUAAGCUUUAGUCUCCAUUUACAUUUAAAAAUAACUGCAUACCUAGUGUGUACAAAUUUUGCUGUUAAACGAAAAGCAUUUAACUAUGAAAUAGAAUUUAAUGCCAUAACACCUACAAAUGACAUACUUCACCAACAAAAGUAUGUAUGUGAUGGAUUAACGUCGUACAAAUGUUAUAAUUACGUUCUGCUUGUAACUAGUUAUUGUAUAUUGUGUUUCAUGGCAGCAGAUAUCGUUUACGCUUACAUGACACGGAGGGAAACAUUUUUAUUCUUGUUGAGAUUCAAAACCGCGAAUGUAACACUCCAAAUUGUAAAAAUACCAUGAAUUUACGUCAUCACUCAUUCAGUGACGAUAUCGGCCUUAAAGGCAAAUAAAAUGAUUAUAGCUUGAGCGUUUGAUAUUAAAAGCUGUAAUUCACAAAUUCCUUGCUAAAUUAAAUGUCGCGGCAGACGGCCAGUUACACCAUAAUAUCGCCUAUGUACAUUACUCAUACAAAUAUAAACACACAUCGCAGUAAUGGUCGGAAUAUGGUCUGCUAAAAGAAGUUCCUUCUCUAUUUUUUUCAAAAAACCACAUUUUUGUUUUUAUUUUUUUAAUUUAUUUGUUGAGGAAACCUAACAUCAUGGCACCUUAAAUAUUUAAGAACAAAAAUAAACUUAUUGAGGCCAAUUACCAGAUUAAUUAUUUAUUUGUUGUAUUUUGAGUGAGUGCCCUCAGCUCUCCCCAUUUGUCUGACCAAGUAAUUAGAGUCAUAUGCGGCAAAAAACAAAAACACUGAUUCGUAUAUAAACUACUAUAAAGACUAUUUUAAACUUUUCAAUUAUAAAAUCAGGUGAACUUUAAUGAUAAAAGCACAUUGAGAAACCUAGAACCGACCCAUUACGUACAUUUUAUUUUAACUUCACAGUAGGUACUACGUAUAUAAGUGUGUCAUUCAUCCAUAGGGAAGGCCCGUGCCCCAGUAGUGGGGACGUUAAUGGGAUGGUGAUGAUGAAGUGUGUCAUAUGAGCGUAUACGAUAUCCUGACAAAGUAGUUGUUUCUUGAAACAUGUUUAGUGCCAUGAGCAGACGGGCUUAACACAUGUAAUGUCAUUGUUUGUUUUAUUAUUGUGUACUUAUUAUCUACAUUAUGGCAGUUCACUAAUAAAGUGCCUUAAAAUGAACUUGUACAUACUUAUUAUUAUAAUGUUUCAAUAAAGUAUUAUUCGAGGAAUAACAAAUCUUACAAUUUUAGUUUUCCAAAAACAAAAUAGAAAUACUUUUAUUACUUAUAGUUAAGUGAGAUUGUGCAUAUUAUGUCUGUUUUGAUGUGUGUUUAAGAUUGAUUUGGCAUUAGUAAAUAUUUGGAAAAUA